RNAcentral lists this ribosomal RNA (701 nucleotides) under Mucor lusitanicus. Its description in RNAcentral is "LSU rRNA". It matches the Rfam family "Eukaryotic large subunit ribosomal RNA", at positions 49 to 657 of the family's 3401-position model. The record is from RNAcentral. Lineage: Eukaryota; Fungi; Mucoromycota; Mucoromycetes; Mucorales; Mucoraceae.
AGCGGAGGAAAAGAAAAUAACAAUGAUUUCCCUAGUAACGGCGAGUGAAGAGGAAAGAGCUCAAAGUUGGAAACUGUUUGGCUUAGCUAAACCGUAUUGUAAACUGUAGAAACAUUUUCCUGGCACACCAGAUUAAUAAGUCCUUUGGAACAAGGCAUCAUGGAGGGUGAGAAUCCCGUCUUUGAUCUGAGUAGUUGUCUUUUGUGAUAUGUUUUCAAAGAGUCAGGUUGUUUGGGAAUGCAGCCUAAAUUGGGUGGUAAAUCUCACCUAAAGCUAAAUAUUUGCGAGAGACCGAUAGCGAACAAGUACCGUGAGGGAAAGAUGAAAAGAACUUUGAAAAGAGAGUUAAACAGUAUGUGAAAUUGUUAAAAGGGAACCGUUUGGAGCCAGACUGGUUUGCUUGUAAUCAACCUAGAAUUCGUUUUGGGUGCACUUGCAGGCUAUACCUGCCAACAACAGUUUGAUUUGGAGGAAAAAAUUAAUAGGAAUGUAGCCUCUCGAGGUGUUAUAGCCUAUUAUCAUACUCUGGAUUGGACUGAGGAACGCAGCGAAUGCCUUUAGGCAAGAUUGCUGGGUGCUUUCGCUAAUAAAUGUUAGAAUUUCUGCUUCGGGUGGUGCUAAUGUUUAAAGGAGGAACACAUCUAGUAUAUUUUUUAUUCGCUUAGGUUGUUGGCUUAAUGACUCUAAAUGACCCGUCUUGA